AACUAGAAGUUCUGUUAGUGAACUUUUCAUUUACACUGAAAUAGGUCUUGUGCAAUUCAAGAUUAGUUGAU
This 71-nucleotide transfer RNA is filed under the name Mnesarete guttifera. RNAcentral's name for it is "tRNA-Val". Lineage: Eukaryota; Metazoa; Arthropoda; Insecta; Odonata; Calopterygidae. The record is from RNAcentral. RNAcentral also lists the same sequence under 1 other name.